Molecule: ribosomal RNA, 419 nt
Filed under: uncultured bacterium
Lineage: Bacteria
Description: partial 16S ribosomal RNA
Rfam family: Bacterial small subunit ribosomal RNA
Source: RNAcentral
AACAUUUGACAAUGGGGGCAACUCUGAUCCAGUCAUGCCGCGUGUGUGAAGAAGGUCUUCGGCCUGUAAAGCACUUUAAGUAGGGAGAUAGGGCUUUAGGCUAAUACCCUGAAGUUUUGACGUUACCAACAGAAUAAGCCCCGGCUAACUCUGUGCCAGCAGCCGCGGUAAUACAGAUGGUGCAAGCCUUAAUCGGAAUUACUGGGCGUAAAGCGCGCGGAGGUGGUUCAGUAAGAUGGGUGUGAAAUCCCCGGGCUUAACCUGGGAACUGCUUGCAUAACUGCUGAGCUAGAGUACGGUAGGGGGUAGUGGAAUUGCCUGUGUAGCGGUGAAAUGCGUAGAUAUAGGAAGGAACACCAGUGGCGAAGGUGACUACCUGGACUGAUACUGACACUGAGGUGCGAAAGCGUGGGGGACAA